UACAGAGGUCUCAAGCGUUGUUCGGAUUCAUUGGGCGUAAAGGGUGCGUAGGCGGCGCGGUAAGUCGGGUGUGAAAUCUUGGAGCUUAACUCCGAAACUGCAUUCGAUACUGCCGUGCUUGAGGACUGGAGAGGAGACUGGAAUUUACGGUGUAGCGGUGAAAUGCGUAGAUAUCGUAAGGAAGACCAGUGGCGAAGGCGGGUCCCUGGACAACACCUGACACUGAGGCACGAAAGCCGGGGGAGCAAACAGG
This 253-nucleotide ribosomal RNA is filed under the name uncultured bacterium. Its description in RNAcentral is "partial 16S ribosomal RNA". It matches the Rfam family "Bacterial small subunit ribosomal RNA", at positions 524 to 776 of the family's 1533-position model. The record is from RNAcentral.